CAGAAUCUAAACAGUCAAUAUCCCACUUUUCAGCUACAGGUGAAGCCAAUUAAUGCAGACUCUCCCCCUGUGUACUUGGACUGAGCCUAUGAUGUCACUGCUGGCCUCAAACUGCAUAUAAAUACAGGAACCAAUUGGGUGCCUCCCAAACACCAGGGCCCUGUUCCUCGUACAAGGCUAACUGAGUUAGCCGGAUAAUUUUCAGGAUAAGAUGACGUAGAUCAGGCUAUUCGGUUCCCCGAAGCAGGUUUGGAUAAAUCACCAGAGCAACACCUCGAAAAACGAUAUCUGUUAGAUUAACGUUUUAUAGGGAGAGAGUUCUCCAAGAUCCAUUAUGACAUCGCGAUGACGUCCUGAACAAACGCUACCGAUGCUAAAGCCCCACACGGUGCAGCCGAGCAUCCACUGUCCUAUAGACCGUCUCACACUCCGUUUCUCAUACUGUACAUGUUUGUACAGUGUUGCGAUGCAGAGAACAUCUGGAAAGCCACUGCAUGUCGUGCUCUUCAAAAAGUUCUGUUGGUUUACUUGUCGCCUAAAAAACUGAAUGUUUCACUGCUUCAAUUGAUCAAAUUUCAGAUUUUUUUCAUACACAUGAUAAAACUCCUAGUUCUACACGGGCAUCUACACAUACAUAUGAUACAUAUAUCCUAUUCCGUCGUAUCAAUUAGUCUUUGAGAUCAUUAUUCUCAUUGGAUGAUGAUAGAGUCCAUGAAGCCUCCUGCAAGCAGGCACAUUUAAAGAGAUAUAAUCUGAUUGAUUAGUGAUGAGGCACUUAAAAUGACUUUUACCAACACUUGCACAUUCAUCUUCUCUGCGAUACGUUAUCGGGCUUGUAGCUCCCGCAUGGGGGUGGUAUCAGUCUUUGCCAUGAUAAUUUGAUUCAAUUCAUUUUAUCUUGUAUAGCACAAGUGCUUUACAGUACACAUGUGACAUCCUCUGUCCUGAAACUCUCACAUCGUCUGGCCCGCGUUCGAUCAAAGUGGGCAGUAUCUGGCCCAAACCUGAAAUGAGUUUGACGCCACUGGUUUAGAGAGACAGAGGAGGAUCCCUCCCCCCUGGGACAGACAGACUGCGAUGGACGUACAGAAUGAACAACGUGUACAACACGUUAAAAUGUAUCUGACAAAUGAUUCAAAUACAUAUUAUCUCCUCACAUGCGUUCAUGAUCAUCUCCUGCUCAUCAGCGGAGAAAAAAAAAGACACUUCCUUUAAGUUUGUUUGCCGUUGUACCGUUAAAAAAUCCUGGUCUCUGUGGUCGACUCUUCCGCCGCGGUUUUCCUGAUGAAGAACGUCUGGUUCAAUCUUUGAGGAUCAGCCUUUGAGGAACCAAAAGCCUGAGAUCAAUCAUUUUGUUAAUUUGAGCUGGACAUUUGAUCGACUUAGUUGAGCCACGUACGAGGAACAAGGCCCUGGUGUGCCUGGUAACCCUCAAAGACACCGACCAGUGUCGUAUGGGGACAAAAAGUGUGUUGUCCCCCACGUGGUCACAAAGCGUGAGGAGCGAUUGGCAGGUGUAUGACAACUAAGCUGAGGGCUUUGGCAUGAAAGAGAAUGCCUGCCUGCCCCUCCCCCUGUCUGAACAUACGCCUGAACCCUUCUGUCGUGUUCCGGUCAAAUCUGACAAGUUUACAACGUUAAUCAAAUCAUGGAUGUUUUACAUGUGAUAUCGUCAGCACGUGAAAUUGGUAAUGAGCACAUUUAAUUUUGAGUGGUUUAGUCAACCUUGUAACCCCUAUGGUGUUCCCUGUAAAAAGCAAACCCUGGGAAAUAAAUGGGAAACACUAGAUCUGUCGAUUCAUCAGAUUGAAAAAACCUUUCUCACACACACACACAGUUAAAAACAUUUCAAAAUAAACAUCAGGGUGUUUUUAUGGGAUUUCAUCUCUAUGCCACACUUAUGUGCCGAUCCCCGCACGUAAAGCACACCUUCCAGACUAAACAAUGUACCAGAUCUUCCCACUUUCUCACUAAAUAAAGCUUCAUCUGUGCUUUGGUCUCAUUUUACUCUGUGAACACUGAGUAGGCAGCUGAUGGGACCAUUUUCUGUCAUCGAGGCUUUGGUCGUAAUCUUUGAAUCAGAUGAAGAGGUGAUUGAACCAGAGACGGAGGAAAUUGAUCUGGAUUUCGAGUCGGACGGCUAUGGGACUAGUCAACACAUGUCGGGGAAGUGGCACCUGAGGUGACGUUCCAGUCAGGGUGGCUACUUGUUUUGGUAAUCAUCCUCUCAGGAGAGAGGAGCGAGAGUCGAAGACAUAACAAGCAUGAGCCAGGGCCAACACGGUUUGUUGCUUGCAGUUUUAGGAACACAACAUUACAACCUUUCCCCCUCCUUCCAGGCUGGAUGAGGUUAAAAGUGCUCACCUGCUGGUGAAAUUUCUUUUGUUUCCCGGCCAUUCGGCCCUGCUAUUUUUUUUUUUUCAUUAUUUGGUACGCCAUAUUACGAGGCCCCUAAACGCUAUCUUUUGUUGAGGUUGAUGGCAAAAUACGUCGAUCAUUCGUGAUUAUUGAGAGGGAUUUUGUUUAGUCUAUGCGUUGAUUUUACUAUAAUAAAAAUCCUAUUCUGCCUUUAGAAAGAUCAUCAUGGGAAAAAUGAACACUAUACAUUUUAGCUAUUUUUCUGCUACAAUUAUAGUUAUAGCUUCACAAGAGUGAAAAUUACAUCACAGUUCAAAAAGAGGCACUUGAAAAAAACUAUGCUUUGGUCUCUGAGUGCGAUGAAGUACCAUGUUUAUAUUGCAACAUAUCUCAGCUUCUAGCCUGUAUUAUGAAGAAACCAUUUAAAUGCUUCACUGGGGAGUAAAAGGAGCUGCACUCGUUAACUACAGUAAAUGCACAGCUCUACUUCUGCCAAGUAUUUUUAUAGGGUUAUUCACACUUUGUUCUCCACUCUGGUACAACAAACAAAUUACCUAAAGAUCAUCAAAUAUGAAAGAAGAAAAGAUAAGACAAACAAAUUAACACAAAAAAGAGAUGAAAAGACAGGGCACUAGAAGGUUUUUACUUUGAUACAUGUGUUUGUAAAUCAAAAACAAAAAAGGCACUCGGCACUGCAAUUACAGCAAUUUGCUGCAGGGGGAAACAGCUGUUUUCUUCCUUUCAUUGAGGAAGAUGUUUCCCCUUUAAUGUUUUGCUUAAUGUCACCUGUUUUUCCACUCUUAAGACUUUUUUUAUUUAAGUGUUUUUUUUUUUUGGUAACAUAUUUAUACAGAGUUGUUUUACCACUGGUUGAUUGAAAGAACAUGCGAUUGUAGGCAGAUGAGGUCCGAACAUCAGUAAUCUCAUUAUGAAAUCUGGCUUUCUCUCCACGAAACUGGUGGUGAGAUGACUGGAGAGGGCACAACAAGAUGGAUUCUGAAGACAUUUAAAUUUGUGGAAAAAAAAUUGGUUAAAAAAAACAAAAAUUACCAAAAACUUCGCGACCCCCCCUGCAGUACCACGGCGGACCCCCUGGGGGUACUUCACAAAUACAGACAGACUGUUUAUAUAUCAAUUGAAGUCAGGCAGUUAUUGAGCUGAAUGGGUGCUACAUGCACAUUUAAAGAGUAGUACCCUAGCAAAAGACACAAAUGAGUAUGGAAGAGUAUGUACUCCAUAGACGUGCGUUGACUUGCAGUAAUUACAUGAAAUGGAAAUAUUUCAUCUACAGGAUAUACAGUAUGUGAAAGUAAUACAAUAUCACAUUUUCCGUUGUCCUUUUCAUAAAGACAAGUGAAAAGGACAACUCUGGACCUGACUAAUUUAUCAGCAGCGAACAAUGAUUGUCUUGAUUUGAAGCAACCUCGACACAGACGGGCAUCAAUAUUUAAUCAGUCGUGUAACAGUUGGAUUUGAUUAAAUGCGGGAGGCGCUACUCAGUGCCAAGGGCAGCAGAGACCUUCUUUUUGGAAAAACCAUUAACCCAAAACAAUGUUAACUCAUUGUGCGCUCCGAUGAGUGUUUUUAGUGGCCGAAAGCACGUUCCACCUGAUUAAGGAUGGCACACAGCAACCAUGUUUAGAGGGAUAACAUUGUGGAGUGUUGAACCCUUCAUUUUUGUUUCUUUGUAAACCAGAAGACCUGAGGGCGUAGAGGUGUGUUUGAGGAGCGAAAAAGAAAGAAAAAAAAACAUGUAAAGAAAUGGACACCAGAAUUAUGCAAAUGCCUGUGGUAUUUUUUUAAAGGGGUUGAAGGUUAACAACAGUUAAAAUGACCAUGGGCAUGGGAAGUGAGCGAUGUCUAAGUGAAGUGUUGUCGCAGCACUAGCAUUUUGAGUAAUGAUGGUACACAGAUGGGCAACAACAGUUAGUUAGCAGGAGCCAAUUAAAUGUAGCCAAUCAACCAUCUGCGAAUUAACAGGCUGUCGGGUUUCGAGCAGCCUCUUUUCAAUGUAUGCCAAUCAACAUGGAGUACGGCAGAGCGCUCGAGGAGAGGGCAGGGGCACACAAAAGGGCUCCACAGUUGCCCGUGCUUUAACAGCGCCACUUAAUUGUAUGUGUGCAAUCUUGGGGCACAGCGGACAUGAUGCCGCUCCUGCAUGUUAAAGCAUCCUCAAUAUACAGUAGACAAAGCAAUUGUAUGGACACGAGAAGCACAUUAGUCUUUAGAGUUCAAUUUGUAUGCUGCACUGGUUUUCUAAUUUUCUUGCAUCGCGGUGACUGACAUCUGUCGGUUCUAGCUGGCUACUGUUCCAUGAUGGCUCCUUAGAUUCCAGAGAGAAACGGCGAGAGCUGGAAGAAAUAGCGCUAACGGAGGUUCCACUCAGUCUGUCCCACUGAGCAGCACGGUUUGAGAGAAGUUAUACGCUACAAACACAAGUAAUAAGUAUUACAACAGAAACAAAACAGUAACUUUACCAUUAAAAUACAACAAAUAAUUUAUUGCAGAAUAUAUAUGCCUUUAAUGUUAUGCAACGUUUUAAUUGAUCUCAAACUGACAGUUUUACAGGAACCUGUGCAGCACUGAGUAACAAAGUCACACAGCUCCUCAUAUAUCAUUUGUGGUUCAUCCCCACUUUUCACAAAGAUUCUGGCAUUCACCAAUGUUUUCUCAUUUGGGAUUUGUUCUUCAGUAAGAACACUCUUCCACACAAUUGAGAGCUGACAUGUUUGUGCAAAAUGAGUAGUAGCAAAAGUAGGCGUAUUCCGCACACUAGGACUACACCACACAAUGGCGUAUUGACUGCUCCUGCAAAAGUAUUUUUGUUAGUGUGCACACGCCCUCCCAUCUCAUGACCUUUUAUGGGAAUUAAAUGGGCGUUAACCUUUGCUAAAUAGGGGCAAUGGGGCACGAGCUUUCAAUUUACGACAUACUGGCAUUCAUCAUUCUAAGACCGCACCUGUGAACAAUUCAGCUGUGUAGGGACACGUCAUGAAUCACGCGUAGACAUCUUAGGAACUUUCUUAAGAACAAAUGUAAGAAAUAACUUAGGACGAUAUUAUUGAAUGAGCCCCAAUGUUAUUUAGCCUGCGUCAGUCCGCUUUGCCUCUUAUCCUCUUGUUGAACACGAACAUAAUGCAUCAUCGGCGCAUUACCGACCACAGUGUAACAUCUAUCCAUAGACUUGUUACAUAUUUUCAUACAUGUGCUUUGCUGUUAAAUUAUUUUAACAAACUGCCUUUUAUAAGAGCAGUGUUGUAUCAUCACUUGUGUCUGGAUCACGAGGUGAUGGUGGUUCACUGUCACUGUUUUCAUCUGGUUACAAAGCUGAAUAGGUUCAACAUUCUUCAAAAUGUCUUCAUUACACAAAUUGUAGAACCUCCCUGUGUACUUUUUUUCUGUAGUUUCAGGGAUUUCAGUUAAUAACUGUUUGGGCUCCAAUGUAGAUUUCACAGCUUAAACUUAUAGCAGCGGCGUUCUGUGUUUGGGAUGCCAUGUGACCGUGGAAAUAGGCAUGAUGUCACCACUAUGUUGAAAGAGUCAAUCUUCAUGUUUUAAUUGUGAAGCUGUUUUGAAAGUCCCCCAAAGUGGGAAUGCAGUAAUAUAUUUGUCAGCUUUUGCAUUGUGGGGAAGCUGGAGGAACACGAUGACAUUCGGUAUUCACAUCUCACAGGUUUGAACACUAUUAAAAGGUUUAUCAUGUUCUCAACAGUCUGCAUGAAGUAAGAAACGUUAUCAGCAUUUAACUUCAACUCUGUGUUCUCCUUGCAAUAAACUGACCUGUUUAAGUCUGGUUAAAGCAUACUUCUUGAUUUAUUUAAUCUGUCCUGUUAAGAUUGGAGAAUAAACACAAACACUUAUUUAAAAUGAGUUAAAGUGACUGUGAUACUUUAUAGACAAUAAUAUGUUGUGCUCUUUUCUACCUGCUGCUCUUUUUUCAAUGCAUUGACAUUUUUGUUACCAAAGGUAAUAACGUUUGCUUUGGGCGCCUUAUGAAGCAAGAAAGUACCAGUUAGUGACUGUUGAGUGUGUGCUUUAAAAUGUCAUUGAAGAUGUUAUCCAAAGGCUCAGCGAUACUGCGGUGUUGAUAGAGCAUGGAAAAAGAAAAACAUCUCAGUCAUUUUACAGCUGAGAACUUGAAACCUACAGCGCAAGCAGCUUUGGUCUGACUUGUCGUAAAAUGCAGCUUCAACCGUGGACCCAGCAUUUCUUUUCUCUGUGCAUAUAAAGACCCAAUUAGAAACCGUAUAAAACAGCUUGCUUCAUGAGAAAAUGAGCUUGGAGUUUCUUGUUAGUUUCUUCUUUUUAUCCAGUACUGACAGCCUCAAAACCUAAUUUCAACUAAAAGUGAUCACGUGCCAAAACUAUCAAAGCACAUAGUUAAAGGCAUCCUCUGCCACUUUAAUCAAUACGUAUUAAAUUUGGAUCACAAUAUAUAAGUAUUUAAUAGCUGCACACAUUUGUUUCAGGAAUUGUUUAGAUUUUCUUGCCAUAAUUUCAAGAUACCAUGUUACAUAUACCAGGGUCUAAACUUCAUCAAAAAUCCCUUCCACAUUGUAUGUUUCUCUUACUUCAUCUAAAAUAUUCACUGCAUUUCAGCAGGGACUUGAGUGUCAUUUGUCACAGAAACUGCAACUCUGACGGCGCUGACUGGUUUCCCGUGGAGAACCGGCUAGUGACACCGGGGAAGUGAGAAGAAGGGAGCAAAAUGAUGAGAGAGGGAGAGAAAACUGUUCCCAUAGCAACGGAAUAAGAGAAAAAUUGACGCGGUGGGAUGCAUGCGCUGUCCUGCUCCAGAGUGUUUGUGCCUGUGUAGACUUUCACACUCACUUAAGUAUGUUACCCUCUCCUUUAUAGUCCUUUCAUCUCGGUCUUGAUGUAAAAGCAGCAUGUUGCUGCUUCCACAAACAUUAGAUCCACUAAUUGGACGCACUCCAACAGCGCAUAACGAGUCGAUAUGAAGAAAACAACGAACCUCUCAUCAGUCAGAAGGAGGAAACUGCCACAAGCAUCCCACACAUUCUUCGUCGUUACCUUACUGGAGUCAGCCUGGGUUGCUUUGGAAUGAAAUGGGUCCGUUAGUAAGCAAGAAUCGCUAAUUAGCAUUAGUUUUGGUCAUCUCCCGCGGUAGACCGCACAUGCGUGACGUCAUUUUUUUUUUUGAUGGCAUGCGAUUGACUGGUACUGCUUUUGAGAUCGACUGAUCCCUGCUGUGGAUCAUCUUCAGCAGCUGGGUUAUGAUUGACCAGCCCCAUACUGGGGCCUAGGCAACUGAUUUGAAGUGAUCUAAGAUGAAGAAAUUCAACCUGUCAAAGACGAUGACGGCGCACUUCUACACAGCCUUCAUUGAGUCCAUCCUCUGCUCCUCCAUCACCGUCUGGUAUGCUGCAGCCACAGCCAAGGACAAGGGCAGGCUGCAACGUGUCAUCCGCUCUGCAGAGAGGGUGAUCGGCUGAAAUCUGCCGUCCCUGCAGGACUUGUUCGCUUCCAUGUCUCUGAAGCGAGCUAAAAAGAUCGUAGCUGACCCCUCUCACCCCGGACAAAACCACUUUGUGCCCCUUCCAUCUGGCAGGAGGCUUAGGUCCAUCAGGACUAAGACCUCCCGCCACACGAACAGCUUCUUCCCGUCGGCAGUCGGGGUCAUCAACAGAGCCCGGUCCCCCACUGACUGACUCAUCUGUCAUCCCUCUCCACCUCCACAUACAGUAAAGUUAAAAAGUAAACGAACGAACAGAAAGUGACACAAUGUACACUUGUCACUUUCUGUUCGUUCGUUUACUUUUUAACUUUUAUUUUUAAUAUAAAUUCCUCUUGCACUAUGUUGUCAUAUGUCUUAUUGUCCAUUGUCUUUGGUUAUGCACCACCCGCCAAGUCAAAUUCCUUGUAUGUCUUACAUAUUUUGGUAAUAAAUGUUCCUGAUUAAUGUGUGGGAACUCAAUUCGAUUAGUUGUUGAUUACAUUCCUCUUCAUUACCACGGGGUCAUGCAAUUUACAGAGUAUUGGCUGUUUCUACCUGAAGAAACACACACACACACAAGAUUGAAGCAACAAACAGGUAAAAGCCGCAGCAGUAGCUGGUUUGGGUCGAGCUGUGGGACCUCCACCCAGGUACCUAACCUUCAGUAACGCUGUACAAGCAGGGAGCGAGAUGUAGGUGAUGUUAUGCAGACAAACGCAUAUAUGUGAUCGCGCACACACAGACGCACACGUAUCCAAACACACACUCUAAUUUCCUCACAUUCCUGCAAACAUGGACUGUAAGAUGCACACACACAAUGAAGUCUCUAUAAGUUCUAACUUGAAUCAGAGAGGUUUUGGUGGUUUGGUGUGACAAAUUCUCUGUCUUAUUAGUUUUUCUCCUGUCUGCCUGCUUGUCAAUUAACUCUGCUGUUGUUCCAGACGAUCAACAACAUGCGAUCAUCUCUCAUUCUCUUCACCUGGUUCUCAUGCCCUUCCCACCUGCAGCCCAUUCCCCCAUUAGUCCCUCACUAUUUAGGUCCACAGACUUGCCCUCUGCCAGAUCCCCUUGUGUGCUACUGCCAAGCUCUCUAACGCAUCUUGAUUUAAUUCCUAAUGUGCCUGUUCCGACCCUGUUUGCCUGAUUUUUGCUGGUCCCCUUUUUGGAGGUGUUUGCCUGUUGGACUGAUAUCCCGGUUUUGACCCUGCCUGAACACAAGUAAAGCACUUAAUUGCAUUUCUGUAUCCAAGUUGUGCUUUUGGGUUCUAGUACCUGUAAUCCAUAUAUAUAUAUGGAUUACAUAUAUUAUAAUUAUACACAUUGUGUAUGACGAUACACACGUGUAUUGGUGUGUGUGUGUAGAUGCAUGCUAUUGUCUUCCCAUUCCCACAAGGUGGAAAAGCC
Gasterosteus aculeatus aculeatus (three-spined stickleback) is the source of this 9220-nucleotide long non-coding RNA. The record is from Ensembl. NCBI's taxonomy places the organism in Eukaryota, Metazoa, Chordata, Actinopteri, Perciformes, Gasterosteidae.